AUUGAACGCUGGCGGCAGGCCUAACACAUGCAAGUCGAACGGUAACAGGAAGCAGCUUGCUGCUUUGCUGACGAGUGGCGGACGGGUGUGUAAUGUCUGGGACACUGCCUGAUGGAGGGGGUUAACUACUGGAAACGGUAGCUAAUACGGCAUAACGUCGCAAGACCAAAGAGGGGGAGCUUCGGGCCUCUUGCCAUCGGAUGUGCCCAGAUGGGAUUAGCUAGUAGGUGGGGUAACGGCUCACCUAGGCGACGAUCCCUAGCUGGUCUGAGAGGAUGACCAGCCACACUGGAACUGAGACACGGUCCAGACUCCUACGGGAGGGAGCAGUGGGGAAUAUUGCGCAAUGGGCGAAAGCCUGACGGAGCAACGCCGCGUGUAUGAUGAAGGCCUUCGGGUCGUAAAACACUUUUAGCGGGGAGGAAGGGAGUAAAGUUAAUCCCUUCGCUUAUUGACGUUACCCGAAGAAGAAGCACCGGCUAACUACGUG
This 490-nucleotide ribosomal RNA is filed under the name uncultured bacterium. RNAcentral's name for it is "partial 16S ribosomal RNA". It matches the Rfam family "Bacterial small subunit ribosomal RNA", at positions 30 to 507 of the family's 1533-position model. The record is from RNAcentral.